Molecule: ribosomal RNA, 505 nt
Filed under: uncultured bacterium
Lineage: Bacteria
Description: partial 16S ribosomal RNA
Rfam family: Bacterial small subunit ribosomal RNA
Source: RNAcentral
GACGAACGCUGGCGGCGUGCCUAAUACAUGCAAGUAGAACGCACAGUUUAUACCGUAGCUUGCUACACCAUAGACUGUGAGUUGCGAACGGGUGAGUAACGCGUAGGUAACCUGCCUGGUAGCGGGGGAUAACUAUUGGAAACGAUAGCUAAUACCGCAUAAUAUUAAUUAUUGCAUGAUAAUUAAUUGAAAGGUGCAAUUGCACCACUACCAGAUGGACCUGCGUUGUAUUAGCUAGUAGGUGAGGUAACGGCUCACCUAGGCGACGAUACAUAGCCGACCUGAGAGGGUGAUCGGCCACACUGGGACUGAGACACGGCCCAGACGCCUACGGGAGGCAGCAGUAGGGAAUCUUCGGCAAUGGACGAAAGUCUGACCGAGCAACGCCGCGUGAGUGAAGAAGGUUUUCGGAUCGUAAAGCUCGGUUGUAAGAGAAGAACGGGUGUGAGAGUGGAAAGUUCACACUGUGACGGUAUCUUACCAGAAAGGGACGGCUAACUACGUG